UUUCUACUUUUUUUAUUCAGAUAAAAUUGUCUGAAAAUAAAUGAUAAGUUAAAAAAAACCUAAAAUACACAAAUGUCUGAAAAAAAAAGUUAAAUUCAGACUUCAGACAAAAAAACAAACAGCACCUAACUUGUAUUUAACUAGUGGAAAAAAAUAUAAAUAUGUUAAUAUAAGUCAAAAUAACACAUGUUCAAAAUAACACGUGUAAAACGUUUAAAUAUAUUAAGUAUUUGAGAUUCAAAUUUGGGUGGCCAACCAAAGUAUUGAGUUUUAAUCCAAUGGUUAGUUUUGGAUUAAGGGCCAGUUUGGUAAUACUAUAACUUUUAAAGUGAUUGCUAUUAGUUGUACUUAGAGAUAGCCAAAGGGCCGGACGGCACGGGCCCGACAUGUGUCCUUAUAGCACGGAAAAACAUGAGCACAUUUCGAUGGGACACGUGGCACGGCAUCGCAUGACACGCACAUGGCUAGGCUGAGCUUAGAAUUUUAGGCAUGUGGGCCUUAAAAGUACUACACGAUUAGAGAUAGGAUAAAGCACGGCAUAGGAAAAAGCCCACAAUAAGCACAUUUUAUUUUUUAAAUGAAAGUAGACUUAAAAUUUUAUGAUUUUACAAAUAACUUGAAAUUGAAUUUUUUAUUUUAUUUUGUUAGUGCAAGUUUUCUAAAUUCAUUUAAUGCUUAGUUAAAAAAUACUAAAAUUGAUUUAUGUUUAUAAUUUAUCAAAUAAUUAAUUAAUAUCAUGAUUUUAAUAAAUAAAAUUAUAAAUAUUAUGAUUUAUAAAUAUGUAUUAAUAUUAUUAUGAACUAUAAUUUAUUACUCUAUAUAAGUCCGAGAUAACAAUUAAGUUAACCCUAAAGAAAAAUUUAUUAUUGUUUUCGUUGUUAAGUAUUAAAAAAGAAUUAUAAUACCAUAUGCUUAAACUUAAUAAUUAUUAUUACAUUCUCUUACUAUUAUUAGUUUAUUUUAUUGAAUGUAGACUUGAGUUUGAAUUUUUGAUUUUAUAAAAUUUGAAUAAAAGCACGCGGACCCAAAAAAGUACAAAAGUUUGAAAAAUAUACCAACAACUUAGUUUGCGCACUUAAAAAAGAAGAAGCUUAUCAUGCUCUUUUCCUUAGGCACGACACAGUACAGCCCAUGGGACGGCACGUGCCAAACUAGGCCUAAGCAAAACAAAAUUAGGCACGGCACGGCAUGACACGAGCACAAGCACACAUGAGCCUUCCUUUAAUGGCCGGCCUAUCCCAUUGGCCAUCUCUAGUUGUACUAGAUAAUCAACUAUGAAGAGAAUUACUUAAGCGUUGACUAAAAUUCGUAUUAUUAAUUUUAUUUUUUAUUUUGUUAUCUCAAUGUAAUUGGUAAUAAAAUCUC
Molecule: long non-coding RNA, 1365 nt
Filed under: Citrus x clementina
Lineage: Eukaryota; Viridiplantae; Streptophyta; Magnoliopsida; Sapindales; Rutaceae
Description: Citrus clementina (C. clementina) long non-coding RNA (CCLE_LNC003292)
Source: RNAcentral